Molecule: transfer RNA, 59 nt
Filed under: Vespa magnifica
Lineage: Eukaryota; Metazoa; Arthropoda; Insecta; Hymenoptera; Vespidae
Description: tRNA-Val
Source: RNAcentral
GAAAGUGACGGGCAAUUUGUACAUAUUUAAUUUAUUAUUCAAUUUAAUAAAUUAAUUAA